GAGUUAACGAUGAUUAUAAAAAAAAUUUCUUGUUCUAACUUGGUCAAUUUGGAUAUGACAGACCUCUUAUUACACCCAUAGAAUUUGAGCCAC
This 93-nucleotide small nucleolar RNA is filed under the name Theobroma cacao (cacao). RNAcentral describes it as "Small nucleolar RNA snoR8a". It matches the Rfam family "Small nucleolar RNA snoR8a". The record is from Rfam by way of RNAcentral. Lineage: Eukaryota; Viridiplantae; Streptophyta; Magnoliopsida; Malvales; Malvaceae.